RNAcentral lists this ribosomal RNA (165 nucleotides) under uncultured archaeon. RNAcentral describes it as "partial small subunit ribosomal RNA". It matches the Rfam family "Archaeal small subunit ribosomal RNA", at positions 674 to 838 of the family's 1478-position model. The record is from RNAcentral.
GGUCCGCCAGAACGCGCUCGACGGUGAGGGAUGAAAGCUGGGGGAGCGAACCGGAUUAGAUACCCGGGUAGUCCCAGCUGUAAACGAUGCAAGCUAGGUGAUGGAGUGGCUACGUGCCAUUCCAGUGCCGCAGGGAAGCCGUUAAGCUUGCCGCCUGGGGAGUAC